GAAAUCUUGAGAGAACAAUUCUCUAUUAUGGAUAAGUGGUGGGUUGAGGUGUCAUCACAAGUUAUCGCCAAAUGCGGGCAAUGUUCGUGUGCGCAUCCGAGAGCAGCUUCUUUAAUACAGAUGCUCCAACAUCUCAUUCCCACUCAAUUACAAUGGGUAAUUGUGCACUCGAAGCUGAAGACAACAAAACAAAGCCACUUUGAAUCUCCCGCCCGUCCAUGUAAGCGAAUCCAACGGCCCACAAUUUUUCCCGUCUGUUAUUCAUUUCGGUUUAUAUUCUU
Molecule: non-coding RNA, 281 nt
Organism: Caenorhabditis elegans
Lineage: Eukaryota; Metazoa; Nematoda; Chromadorea; Rhabditida; Rhabditidae
Source: Ensembl